UCAGAAAUCAAGAACAAGCGCAGGCAAGUUCGUGGGGUCGCUCUCGGUUUUCCAACGGACGCGACAUCAACACAGAGUUCAUCCGUUCACAACAACAGAAUGCUUAUGGAGGCAGUAGCGGGGGCAACACUCGGCCCGCGUCCGUCGCUGGGAGCGGGGGCUCGCCGGCUUUAGAUCAGAGACCAGCUUCAAGGUCAUCGGGCGAGUCCGAACUCUCAGUGAGUGGGGUCUCAAAAGACAAGAAGGACAAGA
Spodoptera frugiperda (fall armyworm) is the source of this 252-nucleotide long non-coding RNA. RefSeq lists it as uncharacterized. The record is from RefSeq and is a predicted model, not a curated record. The transcript is spliced from 3 exons. Lineage: Eukaryota; Metazoa; Arthropoda; Insecta; Lepidoptera; Noctuidae.